AUCUAAAUGACGAGUCCCGAAUAGGACGAAAUGCGCUUUAUCCUGGAU
RNAcentral lists this non-coding RNA (48 nucleotides) under Trichobilharzia regenti. Lineage: Eukaryota; Metazoa; Platyhelminthes; Trematoda; Strigeidida; Schistosomatidae. The record is from RNAcentral.